This is a long non-coding RNA of Piliocolobus tephrosceles (Ugandan red Colobus), 1506 nucleotides long. RefSeq lists it as uncharacterized. NCBI's taxonomy places the organism in Eukaryota, Metazoa, Chordata, Mammalia, Primates, Cercopithecidae. The transcript is spliced from 5 exons. The record is from RefSeq and is a predicted model, not a curated record.
CACCCCUCAGUGUUUCCUCCACCUCCGUGGGCCCUCCUUUGGUGUCCCCCUCCAGGCCCCCUUGUCCUCUUCCCCCUUCGUUACCCCUCCCCCUCCACAGCCCCUCCCCCUCGGCGUCCUCUUCCCUCGCUGCCCCACCCCUACAUCGCUCCCUUGGCUCCUGAUUUUCAGCUUGGGCCCUGCACCUGACCAGAGGCACUGCUCUGGCUGCCUAGGAAGAGGGUUUGGAAACAGCCGUCGCUGAUGGGAUCCCGCUCUGCCUUCUGCCCCGGAGUGACGACUUUGGAUGCGCUUUGCCCCAGGGCCUUUCCUCAUGGAGCUGGCCUUUUCCCUGCCCUUCUCUUCUGGCGCGGUGAACUGCCUCCCGUCUCCUGGAUCACUUUGCUGGCGGCCACCUUGUAACACCUCAGCCACAGGUGCAGCAGUGUCCUGGGUCCAGGCUCACCUCUGUGGAACCAUCCUGCUGCUCUCCCCAGGGCUCCGGGGAUGUGUGUGUUUUCUUGCAGGAGCAUACUUCUUUGAUUAAAGGAAGAGAGAGAGUACUGGGCAGAUAAAGCUGGGAAACGCAAAGAAGCUCCAAGUGAAGAAGCCAAAGCAGAAAAAUCAGGGAAGAUGGGGUGAAGACCAGCAGUGCUUGAGAGAAGAAAAUAAAUUCUCCAUUUCAAAAGAAAAUCCAGGGCGGGACAAUCUUAUUGUGGGUCUUUGUUUCCGCUUGAGCGGAGUUAGGAAUCCACAGGACUGCGGAGCGGGUUGGUAACGCGAGCCGCCUCUGACAGGUACAGAAAUCUGGCUCUUGCACAUUCGUGUCGGGGCCCACGUGUAACAAGGGGGUCUGGCAUCUCCCUCAUGUGCCAGGGGCCCUUCCUGUUUGUUUGUUUUUGUUUUAGAUAAAUGAUCUUGUCAGAUUGUUACUGUGGUAACAAUCAGUGUGACCACAUCUUUUUCAAAGAUUAGAACCGAAGAAAGAUUGAAAAGCAUUAAGCCUGCAGUCCUCACUCACCUUUCUCUGCCUCUGCUCUCUUCUCUGCUGCUUUCUUGUGUCCGAUAAUCAUGUAAAUAGCUUUCUGUGUCCAGCAGAACAAAGAAAAAAGCCUGAUGGAAAAAUGGUUAGGUUUUGCUUUUGAGAAAUGUACAUCCAUGGCUUGAUGGCAGGCUGUGUGCAUCCAUUCACAGCGAGUAGAAUCUAAGGUAGGAUGAGUCAGUUUGAGCUAAUUGUGUCGUUUUAAAUAAGAUUUCCAUAGAUGAACUAAGCACCUGGCCUUGGAACGCAGAAGCCGUUUAAUGUGGUGUUUGCUCUGUGUCGUGUCAGAUUGUGUUUGCUGAUUUCCAGUACCUGCCCUCUGCUGAGGAGCUGGGCUGUCCCCGGUUGUGUCUGCCACGUGCCGCUCCGGCGCUCUCCUGCCAUCCUGGCCGUGAGCUGGGAAUGUAAUCAUGACUAGGCAGGCGGUGCUCAGGCCACGUCUCCCAGGUUGCUGAAUCUGUUCAAAUGAAGGCAGAAAUGGAGAC